AGCGAACGCUGGCGGCAGGCCUAACACAUGCCAGUCGAACGAACCUUUCGGGGUUUGUGGCGGUCGUGUGAGUAACACGUGGGAACGUGCCUUUAGGUUCGGUAUACCUCAGGGUAACUUGUGCUCAUACCAAAUGUGCCCUUCGCGGGAAAGAUUUGUCGCCUUUAGAGCGGCCGUCGUCUGUUUAGCUAGUUGGUUGUGGUAUUGGCUCACCUAGGCGACGAUCAGUAGCUGGUCUGUGCGGAUGAUCAGCCAGAUCGGGGCUGAGACACGGACCAAAAUGGUAGGGAAGGGAGCAGUGGGGAAUCCAGCGGAAGGAGGGAAGGCGUGACGAAGCCAUGUCGGGUGAAUGAUGAAGGUCUUAGGAUAGUAAAAUUCUUUGACCGGGGACGAGAAUGACGGUACCCGGAGAAGAAGCCCCGGCUAACUUCGUG
RNAcentral lists this ribosomal RNA (434 nucleotides) under uncultured bacterium. RNAcentral describes it as "partial 16S ribosomal RNA". It matches the Rfam family "Bacterial small subunit ribosomal RNA", at positions 29 to 507 of the family's 1533-position model. The record is from RNAcentral.